ACGUCUCCAAGAAUCCUAACCUAA
Molecule: non-coding RNA, 24 nt
Filed under: Arabidopsis thaliana (thale cress)
Lineage: Eukaryota; Viridiplantae; Streptophyta; Magnoliopsida; Brassicales; Brassicaceae
Source: RNAcentral